Molecule: ribosomal RNA, 278 nt
Filed under: Glomeromycota sp.
Lineage: Eukaryota; Fungi; Glomeromycota
Description: partial small subunit ribosomal RNA
Rfam family: Eukaryotic small subunit ribosomal RNA
Source: RNAcentral
AGCAGCCGCGGUAAUUCCAGCUCCAAUAGCGUAUAUUAAAGUUGUUGCAGUUAAAAAGCUCGUAGUUGAAUUUCGGGGUCAGUACGCCGGUCGUGCCUUCGGUAUGCACUGGUGUCACUGAUUCCUCCCUUCUGAAGAACCGUUAUGCCAUUCAUUUGGUGUGACGGGGAAUCAGGACUGUUACUUUGAAAAAAUUAGAGUGUUUAAAGCAGGCUCGCGCUUGAAUACAUUAGCAUGGAAUAAUGAAAUAGGACGUUUGAUCUUAUUUUGUUGGUUUU